GUGUUCGAGUUGUAAUUUGAAGAUGGUAACCUUGGGUUUGGCUCUUGUCUAUGUUCCUUGGAACAGGACGUCAUAGAGGGUGAGAAUCCCGUCUGAUGAGAUGCCCAUUCCUAUGUAAGGUGCUAUCGAAGAGUCGAGUUGUUUGGGAAUGCAGCUCUAAGUGGGUGGUAAAUUCCAUCUAAAGCUAAAUAUUGGCGAGAGACCGAUAGCGAACAAGUACAGUGAUGGAAAGAUGAAAAGAACUUUGAAAAGAGAGUGAAAAAGUACGUGAAAUUGUUGAAAGGGAAGGGCAUUAGAUCAGACUUGGUGUUUUACGAUUAUCUUCUCUUCUUGAGUUGUGCACUCGUAUUUCACUGGGCCAGCAUCGAUUCGGAUGGCAAGAUAAUGGCAGUUGAAUGUGGCUUCACUUCGGUGGAGUGUUAUAGCUUCUGCUGAUAUUGCCUGUCUGGAUCGAGGGCUGCGUCUUUUGACUAGGAUGCUGGCGUAAUGAUCUAAUG
Molecule: ribosomal RNA, 497 nt
Filed under: Hansenula anomala
Lineage: Eukaryota; Fungi; Ascomycota; Saccharomycetes; Phaffomycetales; Wickerhamomycetaceae
Description: LSU rRNA
Rfam family: Eukaryotic large subunit ribosomal RNA
Source: RNAcentral